AAAAAAAAAAAAAGGUGUUUAUGGUAGAAGGUGUUCUCACAGCUACUGACUCAGAGCCAUGAGCCUGUGUGUAAGUCCUGGCCUUCUCUUCAAAGGUGAUGGCCCGCUCCCUCUCCCCACCCCCGGAGCUGGAAGAAAGGGAUGUGGCCGCAUACUCGGCCUCCUUGGAGGAUGUGAAGACAGCCGUCCUGGGGCUUCUGGUCAUCCUUCAGACCAAGCUGUACACCCUGCCUGCAAGCCACGCCACGCGUGUGUAUGAGAUGCUGGUCAGCCACAUUCAGCUCCACUACAAGCACAGCUACACCCUGCCAAUCGCGAGCAGCAUCCGGCUGCAGGCCUUUGACUUCCUGUUGCUGCUGCGGGCCGACUCACUGCACCGCCUGGGCCUGCCCAACAAGGAUGGAGUCGUGCGGUUCAGCCCCUACUGCGUCUGCGACUACAUGGAGCCAGAGAGAGGCUCUGAGAAGAAGACCAGCGGCCCCCUUUCUCCUCCCACAGGGCCUCCUGGCCCGGCGCCUGCAGGCCCCGCCGUGCGGCUGGGGUCCGUGCCCUACUC
RNAcentral lists this small RNA (556 nucleotides) under Pan troglodytes (chimpanzee). Its description in RNAcentral is "retained intron". The record is from RNAcentral. Lineage: Eukaryota; Metazoa; Chordata; Mammalia; Primates; Hominidae.